This is a long non-coding RNA of Corvus hawaiiensis (hawaiian crow), 2800 nucleotides long. RefSeq lists it as uncharacterized. The transcript has 5 exons. The record is from RefSeq and is a predicted model, not a curated record. Lineage: Eukaryota; Metazoa; Chordata; Aves; Passeriformes; Corvidae.
GCAGGGCAGAGGGACUGUCGCCGAGCGCUGCUUUGGGGUUCCCUUUAGGGAGCGCUGGGAUGGCGCAGCGCGGAUGGGUGCUGCGCUGGAGGGAUCUGCCGGGGGAGCACCGUCUGCCAUGGCCGGGGCAGUGACACAGCCCCUGCCCCGCGCCGGGCCCCGGCCGCGGCUGGCCUGAAGACUACAGGUAGGAGCUAAGUGUGUCUGUGGCUGUCAGCAGCAUCCUCGAUGGCAAACUAAUGCGAGGGGAAGUUUGAUAACCCCCAGACUUACAGAAGCAUUUUCUUGAUGAAACAUUUUCUGAAGCAAUGGAGCUGAUGAAAUCCUCCUUUUCCCUGUGGGCUUUCUACUCUGCCAGCACGUGAAUGGGCUUCACCUCCUGAUGAAUGUAACCGGUCGCUGAAUGCCAAAUCAGCCCUAUCAAGUUCAAGUCAAAGGUCUGGCAACAACAGAACCUUUCCCCACUCAUCAAGUGCAUUAACAUAUUGCCAACUUCCCUGCUCGAUGCGAGCUCCUCCUGCUGCGGGGAUCCAUCUGAAGGGAGGUGCUGAUACUUUAUGAAAACCAACCCAUAUACAAAGCAUGUAACAGGAAGAUGAACUUGAACAUAGGACCCUCAGAAGUUGAGUUACAUCAGCACAAGACAGUCUGAAGGCUUCUUGGAAUCCACCUAAAAUGUUUUUAUAUGGAAAACUCAUGAAACUGGUAUUUUUGUGAUUUUUGGUAUUUCCUUUUCUGGUCAAACCAGCAAUUCAGGACAAAAUUAAGAUGUUUCCAUUUCUGGCCUCAGGUAGCAGAAGACAGUGGAAUACUUGUGAAAGUUUAGAUACAAAUCUUUAUCAGAACUUGUAAAAUCAUAUAGUCCAGUUCUUGUAUAUGCUGCUGAAACAUUUAUUUUCAUGCUUAAUUGAACAAAAUAAUGUUUUGCUGGCAUUCUGCAGUACACAGUACACUUCAAUUAUAAUUGGUUUUGUCCCUUGCUGUUCUGUCACAUGAUGUUAUCUGAAACAUUUCCAGGUGUAUUCAUACAGUGAAUUUUUCUUAGAAAUUGUAAACUAUGUUUGCAGACUGACAUUUUCCUAAUGUUACCUCUUAAUCAGUGGUUCAGAAUGUUUAUUUAUGGUUGUGCAGAAAAAAUGUACAAGCAGAAAAUGUUCUUAGAAAUAUAUAUAGAAAUACCCACCAGUAUUCCCAAUCUAGAAUAGCUGCUAGUGGCAUUUUCUAAGAAGGACUGAAAUAUGCAAUGUUGACACUUGUCACUGGCAGUGUCUUUUAUAAAAAUAAUUCCCUCCAUUCGUAAUUUUUCUCACUUUAUACUCAGUGUAGUAAAAUGUUGAAGACAAAACACUUUAAUUACAUUAUUGCUGUAGCCAUUCCUAUCUUAAAAUGGGGUUUAAUUAAAAAACAUUUUUGAGCUGUUGACCUGUAGCAAAGGUUUAAGUGAUAUACCUCUGUAGUAAAUGUGCACACUGGAAGCAAAAAUAAUUCAAACUGGACUUUUGGCACAUUUAACUAACAUUGUUUCAGACUUGGAAUAAAACUUUAUUUUGGCUCAACGACUAUAGAUUUGUUGCAAUCAUUGCAGUUCACUGAACUUUUUUUUUCUGUGCAUACAUAUUUCAAGUAAACUCUGUAGUUAUAACAAGUGACACGUUAUGGACCCUAAAUCGUUGCACUGUGAAAUAUGCACAGAAAAAGGACAAAUGAAGAUAUCAAGGGUCUGUUCCAUUUUUCACUGAACUGUAAAAUGCCACCCUUGUCGUACAGCAGAUCACUGGUUCUGAGCAGGGCUCAUUGACUGCUAAGUUGUGGAUAGUGUUUCACUUUCUGCAACUGUUAAUAUCCUGGGUUAUCCAGGCAUAAUGACCUCUCUAUUUGUGACACAUUGUUGAAUUUUCUGGUUCUUUUAACUUAUUCAAACCUUUUUUUCCCCCCUUCUUCUUCUUUUUCUCCAUUCAUUGGAAGGCUGGAAGGAUUCUGAAUUGAGCUGCAGUACAGAGCUGCCUUGCUGUUGGUCAGCCAAUUACAGUUGAAAUAUGUGGUGGUGGCGGCACAUCUGUAAAUGAAUACAAACUUAAAAGUGUGAAGGAAAGGCGCUCUACAUCUGCACUAGCCCUUCUUUUAUACAGGGUAAUGCAUGUAUUUUGGAUAAUAUUGGUGUAUCUGCAGUACAGUUUGGUUUCAUUAGUUCUGAUAUAGUAAAUAAUCCAUACUACAAUGAUCUAUGUUAUUUUAUAGCUGAAAGUUGGUAUUUAAACUGAUUGGAAUGAAAUUCCAACUUUAUAACUGGUCACUAAAUUACAAUUACACUCAAUACCUAAGGUAUUAAGUAUUUUAAAUGCUGAUAAAGAUUUGCAUUUUUAAAAACUUUGACACUUCAAAAUAUGAAAAUAAAACAGGGGUUAUAUGCAGUGUACAGCAUUUAGUUUCCAGACUUUAAUCCAGACCUGCCUUCUUCUGAGCUUAUAAGAAUUUGAAGUCAGUGAGAGUAUACAAUUUUAUCUCAGAUUUGGACCCAUGCCUGUCUAUUCUUCUAUUGAUUCCCCACCAAAAGAACAGUGUUUAUCUUGUUUUUAUUUGCACAGUAUAUUCUGGAUAGCUACAAAUUUUCUCUGGCCCUGCGGAGAGCAAGUUGUAUUUUGGAGGGCUCUGUUAGCUGCCUCCAACAAGGAGUGGAGUGUGUUUGUGUAUACCUGCAAUAUGUCAGGUGUAUAAAUAUUUUGCCUAUGUUCAGCACUGCUGGCUCUCUUUUAUGUAGUGUUUUCUAUGCCUCACUCCCUCAUUAAAAUCUGUAAAUCUU